This 351-nucleotide long non-coding RNA is filed under the name Nicotiana benthamiana. RNAcentral describes it as "long non-coding RNA (NBEN_LNC040475)". The record is from RNAcentral. Lineage: Eukaryota; Viridiplantae; Streptophyta; Magnoliopsida; Solanales; Solanaceae.
UUGCCUCGCUUGGUAGUUGUUUCAAUUCAUCGAUUCAAGUGCAGUCAAAGUGGUACCCCCCUCUUUUCUUUCAAUUCUAUUUUUAGACUUGUUGUUUCAGUCCCAUUCCUUUCUCUUUAUUUGUUUGAAUUAGUUUCAUUAUGUUUCGGGUCGUUGAUCAGAGAUUUAAGGUUCAGUGUUAAAAGCAUUUACACUUGGAUCGGCUCUAGCUUGAGUGCUAAUGAUUGAAUCGAAUUUGUUUGAUUAUUUUGGGCUGUUUUGGUCUAGUAUGGAUUCUAUGAUUAUGGUUUGGGCAGUCCAAAACCAAGUGAUUGCUCAGGUUAGGCAUGAGGGUCCGGGGAGGGUAAAAAC